Molecule: ribosomal RNA, 444 nt
Filed under: Macrobrachium superbum
Lineage: Eukaryota; Metazoa; Arthropoda; Malacostraca; Decapoda; Palaemonidae
Description: partial 16S ribosomal RNA
Rfam family: Bacterial large subunit ribosomal RNA
Source: RNAcentral
GAAUGAAGGUUGGACGAGGGAUGAGCUGUCUCCUUUAUGUAGUUUGAAUUUAACUUUUGAGUGAAAAGGCUCAAAUUAUUUAGUGGGACGAUAAGACCCUAUAAAACUUUAUAUAAGUUUAAUUUGGCUUACAAUUUGAGUGAAAAGUAGUUUUAUUAGGCUUAUAUUUCGUUGGGGAGAUGUAGAUAUAAUGUGUAACUGUCUAUUUAAUUUAAUAAUUAUAAUUAGUGUGUGAUCCUUCUUUGUGGAUUAAAAGUAUAAGUUACUUUAGGGAUAACAGCGUGAUUUUCUUUGAGAGUUCUUAUCGACAAGAGUAGUUGCGACCUCGAUGUUGAAUUAAAAUUUCAGUUAGGUGUAGCCGUCUAGCUGGUAGGUCUGUUCGACCUUUAAAAUUUUACAUGAUUUGAGUUCAAACCGGUGUGAGCCAGGUUGGUUCUAACUAAA